RNAcentral lists this ribosomal RNA (2927 nucleotides) under Escherichia coli. RNAcentral describes it as "23S ribosomal RNA". It matches the Rfam family "Bacterial large subunit ribosomal RNA". The record is from RNAcentral. Lineage: Bacteria; Pseudomonadati; Pseudomonadota; Gammaproteobacteria; Enterobacterales; Enterobacteriaceae.
GGGUUGUGAGGUUAAGCGACUAAGCGUACACGGUGGAUGCCCUGGCAGUCAGAGGCGAUGAAGGACGUGCUAAUCUGCGAUAAGCGUCGGUAAGGUGAUAUGAACCGUUAUAACCGGCGAUUUCCGAAUGGGGAAACCCAGUGUGAUUCGUCACACUAUCAUUAACUGAAUCCAUAGGUUAAUGAGGCGAACCGGGGGAACUGAAACAUCUAAGUACCCCGAGGAAAAGAAAUCAACCGAGAUUCCCCCAGUAGCGGCGAGCGAACGGGGAGCAGCCCAGAGCCUGAAUCAGUGUGUGUGUUAGUGGAAGCGUCUGGAAAGGCGCGCGAUACAGGGUGACAGCCCCGUACACAAAAAUGCACAUGCUGUGAGCUCGAUGAGUAGGGCGGGACACGUGGUAUCCUGUCUGAAUAUGGGGGGACCAUCCUCCAAGGCUAAAUACUCCUGACUGACCGAUAGUGAACCAGUACCGUGAGGGAAAGGCGAAAAGAACCCCGGCGAGGGGAGUGAAAAAGAACCUGAAACCGUGUACGUACAAGCAGUGGGAGCACAGAGCAAUCUGUGUGACUGCGUACCUUUUGUAUAAUGGGUCAGCGACUUAUAUUCUGUAGCAAGGUUAACCGAAUAGGGGAGCCGAAGGGAAACCGAGUCUUAACUGGGCGUUAAGUUGCAGGGUAUAGACCCGAAACCCGGUGAUCUAGCCAUGGGCAGGUUGAAGGUUGGGUAACACUAACUGGAGGACCGAACCGACUAAUGUUGAAAAAUUAGCGGAUGACUUGUGGCUGGGGGUGAAAGGCCAAUCAAACCGGGAGAUAGCUGGUUCUCCCCGAAAGCUAUUUAGGUAGCGCCUCGUGAAUUCAUCUCCGGGGGUAGAGCACUGUUUCGGCAAGGGGGUCAUCCCGACUUACCAACCCGAUGCAAACUGCGAAUACCGGAGAAUGUUAUCACGGGAGACACACGGCGGGUGCUAACGUCCGUCGUGAAGAGGGAAACAACCCAGACCGCCAGCUAAGGUCCCAAAGUCAUGGUUAAGUGGGAAACGAUGUGGGAAGGCCCAGACAGCCAGGAUGUUGGCUUAGAAGCAGCCAUCAUUUAAAGAAAGCGUAAUAGCUCACUGGUCGAGUCGGCCUGCGCGGAAGAUGUAACGGGGCUAAACCAUGCACCGAAGCUGCGGCAGCGACGCUUAUGCGUUGUUGGGUAGGGGAGCGUUCUGUAAGCCUGCGAAGGUGUGCUGUGAGGCAUGCUGGAGGUAUCAGAAGUGCGAAUGCUGACAUAAGUAACGAUAAAGCGGGUGAAAAGCCCGCUCGCCGGAAGACCAAGGGUUCCUGUCCAACGUUAAUCGGGGCAGGGUGAGUCGACCCCUAAGGCGAGGCCGAAAGGCGUAGUCGAUGGGAAACAGGUUAAUAUUCCUGUACUUGGUGUUACUGCGAAGGGGGGACGGAGAAGGCUAUGUUGGCCGGGCGACGGUUGUCCCGGUUUAAGCGUGUAGGCUGGUUUUCCAGGCAAAUCCGGAAAAUCAAGGCUGAGGCGUGAUGACGAGGCACUACGGUGCUGAAGCAACAAAUGCCCUGCUUCCAGGAAAAGCCUCUAAGCAUCAGGUAACAUCAAAUCGUACCCCAAACCGACACAGGUGGUCAGGUAGAGAAUACCAAGGCGCUUGAGAGAACUCGGGUGAAGGAACUAGGCAAAAUGGUGCCGUAACUUCGGGAGAAGGCACGCUGAUAUGUAGGUGAAGCGACUUGCUCGUGGAGCUGAAAUCAGUCGAAGAUACCAGCUGGCUGCAACUGUUUAUUAAAAACACAGCACUGUGCAAACACGAAAGUGGACGUAUACGGUGUGACGCCUGCCCGGUGCCGGAAGGUUAAUUGAUGGGGUUAGCGCAAGCGAAGCUCUUGAUCGAAGCCCCGGUAAACGGCGGCCGUAACUAUAACGGUCCUAAGGUAGCGAAAUUCCUUGUCGGGUAAGUUCCGACCUGCACGAAUGGCGUAAUGAUGGCCAGGCUGUCUCCACCCGAGACUCAGUGAAAUUGAACUCGCUGUGAAGAUGCAGUGUACCCGCGGCAAGACGGAAAGACCCCGUGAACCUUUACUAUAGCUUGACACUGAACAUUGAGCCUUGAUGUGUAGGAUAGGUGGGAGGCUUUGAAGUGUGGACGCCAGUCUGCAUGGAGCCGACCUUGAAAUACCACCCUUUAAUGUUUGAUGUUCUAACGUUGACCCGUAAUCCGGGUUGCGGACAGUGUCUGGUGGGUAGUUUGACUGGGGCGGUCUCCUCCUAAAGAGUAACGGAGGAGCACGAAGGUUGGCUAAUCCUGGUCGGACAUCAGGAGGUUAGUGCAAUGGCAUAAGCCAGCUUGACUGCGAGCGUGACGGCGCGAGCAGGUGCGAAAGCAGGUCAUAGUGAUCCGGUGGUUCUGAAUGGAAGGGCCAUCGCUCAACGGAUAAAAGGUACUCCGGGGAUAACAGGCUGAUACCGCCCAAGAGUUCAUAUCGACGGCGGUGUUUGGCACCUCGAUGUCGGCUCAUCACAUCCUGGGGCUGAAGUAGGUCCCAAGGGUAUGGCUGUUCGCCAUUUAAAGUGGUACGCGAGCUGGGUUUAGAACGUCGUGAGACAGUUCGGUCCCUAUCUGCCGUGGGCGCUGGAGAACUGAGGGGGGCUGCUCCUAGUACGAGAGGACCGGAGUGGACGCAUCACUGGUGUUCGGGUUGUCAUGCCAAUGGCACUGCCCGGUAGCUAAAUGCGGAAGAGAUAAGUGCUGAAAGCAUCUAAGCACGAAACUUGCCCCGAGAUGAGUUCUCCCUGACUCCUUGAGAGUCCUGAAGGAACGUUGAAGACGACGACGUUGAUAGGCCGGGUGUGUAAGCGCAGCGAUGCGUUGAGCUAACCGGUACUAAUGAACCGUGAGGCUUAACCUUACAACGCCGAAG